UGGGGAAUUUUGGACAAUGGGCGAAAGCCUGAUCCAGCAAUGCCGCGUGUGUGAAGAAGGCCUUCGGGUUGUAAAGCACUUUUGCCCGGAAAGAAAUCCUUGGCUCUAAUACAGUCGGGGGAUGACGGUACCGGAAGAAUAAGCACCGGCUAACUACGUGCCAGCAGCCGCGGUAAUACGUAGGGUGCAAGCGUUAAUCGGAAUUACUGGGCGUAAAGCGUGCGCAGGCGGUUUGCUAAGACCGAUGUGAAAUCCCCGGGCUCAACCUGGGAACUGCAUUGGUGACUGGCAGGCUAGAGUAUGGCAGAGGGGGGUAGAAUUCCACGUGUAGCAGUGAAAUGCGUAGAGAUGUGGAGGAAUACCGAUGGCGAAGGCAGCCCCCUGGGCCAAUACUGACGCUCAUGCACGAAGGGGUGGGGAGCAAACAGGAUUAGAUACCCUGGUAGUCCACGCCCUAAACGAUGUCAACUAGUUGUUGGGGGAUUCAUUUCCUUAGUAACGUAGCUAACGCGUGAAGCUGACCG
RNAcentral lists this ribosomal RNA (524 nucleotides) under uncultured bacterium. Its description in RNAcentral is "partial 16S ribosomal RNA". It matches the Rfam family "Bacterial small subunit ribosomal RNA", at positions 355 to 871 of the family's 1533-position model. The record is from RNAcentral.